CGGGGGGGGUGCUUACACAUGCAAGUCGAACGAUGAACCGCUUUCGGGCGGGGAUUAGUGGCGAACGGGUGAGUAACACGUGGGCAAUCUGCCCUGCACUCUGGGACAAGCCCUGGAAACGGGGUCUAAUACCGGAUAUGACUGUCCAUCGCAUGGUGGAUGGUGUAAAGCUCCGGCGGUGCAGGAUGAGCCCGCGGCCUAUCAGCUUGUUGGUGAGGUAGUGGCUCACCAAGGCGACGACGGGUAGCCGGCCUGAGAGGGCGACCGGCCACACUGGGACUGAGACACGGCCCAGACUCCUACGGGAGGCAGCAGUGGGGAAUAUUGCACAAUGGGCGAAAGCCUGAUGCAGCGACGCCGCGUGAGGGAUGACGGCCUUCGGGUUGUAAACCUCUUUCAGCAGGGAAGAAGCGAAAGUGACGGUACCUGCAGAAGAAGCGCCGGCUAACUACGUGCCAGCAGCCGCGGUAAUACGUAGGGCGCAAGCGUUGUCCGGAAUUAUUGGGCGUAAAGAGCUCGUAGGCGGCUUGUCACGUCGGUUGUGAAAGCCCGGGGCUUAACCCCGGGUCUGCAGUCGAUACGGGCAGGCUAGAGUUCGGUAGGGGAGAUCGGAAUUCCUGGUGUAGCGGUGAAAUGCGCAGAUAUCAGGAGGAACACCGGUGGCGAAGGCGGAUCUCUGGGCCGAUACUGACGCUGAGGA
This 700-nucleotide ribosomal RNA is filed under the name Streptomyces violascens. Its description in RNAcentral is "bacterial SSU rRNA". It matches the Rfam family "Bacterial small subunit ribosomal RNA", at positions 36 to 752 of the family's 1533-position model. Lineage: Bacteria; Bacillati; Actinomycetota; Actinomycetes; Kitasatosporales; Streptomycetaceae. The record is from RNAcentral.